GGCGGUGCCUGGUGCGUGGGUGCAUUGGUGCAGACCCACGGUUGCCCCGCAUGCUGCAGCGCCUCUCAGGAAUGGACAGGCAGGCUCACACCCUGCAUGCCACGUGUCUCCUUUUGUCCGAGAGGAAGACUACAAGGGAAAGCGGAGGCAGGCGAGGCGACCAGGACACAGGC
Molecule: small nucleolar RNA, 173 nt
Filed under: Chlamydomonas reinhardtii
Lineage: Eukaryota; Viridiplantae; Chlorophyta; Chlorophyceae; Chlamydomonadales; Chlamydomonadaceae
Description: CrACA13b snoRNA
Source: RNAcentral